CAGCAGUAGCCGCGGUAAUACGUAGGUGGCAAGCGUUGUCCGGAAUUAUUGGGCGUAAAGGGCUCGCAGGCGGUUUCUUAAGUCUGAUGUGAAAGCCCCCGGCUCAACCGGGGAGGGUCAUUGGAAACUGGGAAACUUGAGUGCAGAAGAGGAGAGUGGAAUUCCACGUGUAGCGGUGAAAUGCGUAGAGAUGUGGAGGAACACCAGUGGCGAAGGCGACUCUCCGGUCUGUAACUGACGCUGAGGAGCGAAAGCGUGGGGAGCGAACAGGAUUAGAUACCCCGGUAGUCCCUGUCUCUUAUAC
RNAcentral lists this ribosomal RNA (304 nucleotides) under uncultured bacterium. Its description in RNAcentral is "partial 16S ribosomal RNA". It matches the Rfam family "Bacterial small subunit ribosomal RNA", at positions 506 to 807 of the family's 1533-position model. The record is from RNAcentral.